UACGAAGGGGGCUAGCGUUGCUCGGAAUCACUGGGCGUAAAGGGUGCGUAGGUGGCGCCGUAAGUCAGGUGUGAAAUUUCGGAGCUUAACUCCGAAACUGCAUUUGAUACUGCGGUGCUUGAGGACUGGAGAGGAGACUGGAAUUCACGGUGUAGCAGUGAAAUGCGUAGAUAUCGUGAGGAAGACCAGUGGCGAAGGCGGGUCUCUGGACAGUUCCUGACACUGAGGCACGAAGGCCAGGGGAGCAAACGGG
RNAcentral lists this ribosomal RNA (253 nucleotides) under uncultured bacterium. Its description in RNAcentral is "partial 16S ribosomal RNA". It matches the Rfam family "Bacterial small subunit ribosomal RNA", at positions 524 to 776 of the family's 1533-position model. The record is from RNAcentral.